RNAcentral lists this ribosomal RNA (589 nucleotides) under Rhynchogastrema tunnelae. Its description in RNAcentral is "eukaryotic LSU rRNA". It matches the Rfam family "Eukaryotic large subunit ribosomal RNA", at positions 47 to 626 of the family's 3401-position model. The record is from RNAcentral. Lineage: Eukaryota; Fungi; Basidiomycota; Tremellomycetes; Tremellales; Rhynchogastremaceae.
UAAGCGGAGGAAAAGAAACUAACAAGGAUUCCCCUAGUAACGGCGAGUGAACCGGGAAGAGCUCAAAUUUGAAAUCUGGCGUCCUUCGGGCGUCCGAGUUGUAAUCUAUAGAGGCGUUUUCCGUGCCGGACCGUGUCUAAGUCCCUUGGAACAGGGUAUCAAAGAGGGUGACAAUCCCGUACUUGACACGACGACCGGUGCUCUGUGAUACGUCUUCUACGAGUCGAGUUGUUUGGGAAUGCAGCUCAAAAUGGGUGGUGAGUUCCAUCUAAAGCUAAAUAUUGGCGAGAGACCGAUAGCGAACAAGUACCGUGAGGGAAAGAUGAAAAGCACUUUGGAAAGAGAGUUAAACAGUACGUGAAAUUGUUGAAAGGGAAACGAUUGAAGUCAGUCGUGACUGUUGGGCUCAGCCGGUUCUGCCGGUGUAUUCCCUUCAGUCGGGUCAACAUCAGUUUUAAUCGGUGGAUAAGGGCAGCAGGAACGUAGCACCUUCGGGUGUGUUAUAGCCUGUCGUCGCAUACAUCGGUCGAGACUGAGGAACGCAGCUCGCCUUUAUGGCCGGGGUUCGCCCACGUCCGAGCUAGGAUGU